This 447-nucleotide ribosomal RNA is filed under the name uncultured bacterium. Its description in RNAcentral is "bacterial SSU rRNA". It matches the Rfam family "Bacterial small subunit ribosomal RNA", at positions 355 to 825 of the family's 1533-position model. The record is from RNAcentral.
UCGGGAAUUUUGGGCAAUGGGCGAAAGCCUGACCCAGCAACGCCGCGUGAAGGAUGAAGUAUUUCGGUAUGUAAACUUCGAAAGAAUAGGAAGAAUAAAUGACGGUACUAUUUAUAAGGUCCGGCUAACUACGUGCCAGCAGCCGCGGUAAUACGUAGGGACCAAGCGUUGUUCGGAUUUACUGGGCGUAAAGGGCGCGUAGGCGGCAAUUCAAGUCAUCUAUGAAAUCUCCGGGCUUAACUCGGAACGGUCAGAUGAUACUGCUUCGCUAGAGUGCAGAAGGGGCAAUCGGAAUUCUUGGUGUAGCGGUGAAAUGCGUAGAUAUCAAGAGGAACACCUGAGGUGAAGACGGGUUGCUGGGCUGACACUGGCGCUGAGGCGCGAAAGCCAGGGGAGCAAACGGGAUUAGAUACCCUAGUAGUCCCUGAGCGGGCUGGCAAGGCGCAU